Molecule: transfer RNA, 79 nt
Filed under: Planctomycetota bacterium
Lineage: Bacteria; Pseudomonadati; Planctomycetota
Description: Planctomycetes bacterium (sediment metagenome) tRNA-Pro
Rfam family: tRNA
About the family: Transfer RNA (tRNA) molecules are approximately 80 nucleotides in length. Their secondary structure includes four short double-helical elements and three loops (D, anti-codon, and T loops). Further hydrogen bonds mediate the characteristic L-shaped molecular structure. tRNAs have two regions of fundamental functional importance: the anti-codon, which is responsible for specific mRNA codon recognition, and the 3' end, to which the tRNAs corresponding amino acid is attached (by aminoacyl-tRNA synthetases). tRNAs cope with the degeneracy of the genetic code in two manners: having more than one tRNA (with a specific anti-codon) for a particular amino acid; and 'wobble' base-pairing, i.e. permitting non-standard base-pairing at the 3rd anti-codon position.
Source: RNAcentral
CGGGGCGUGGCGCAGUCUGGAUUAGCGCGUCUGAAUGGGGUUCAGAAGGUCGCAGGUUCGAAUCCUGUCGCCCCGACCU